AUUGAACGCUGGCGGCAGGCCUAACACAUGCAAGUCGAGCGGAUGAAGGUAGCUUGCUCCUGUAUUCAGCGGCGGACGGGUGAGUAAUGCCUAGGAAUCUGCCUGGUAGUGGGGGAUAACGUCCGGAAACGGGCGCUAAUACCGCAUACGUCCUGAGGGAGAAAGUGGGGGAUCUUCGGACCUCACGCUAUCAGAUGAGCCUAUGUCGGAUUAGCUAGUUGGUGGGGUAAAGGCCUACCAAGGCGACGAUCCGUAACUGGUCUGAGAGGAUGAUCAGUCACACUGGAACUGAGACACGGUCCAGACUCCUACGGGAGGCAGCAGUGGGGAAUAUUGGACAAUGGGCGAAAGCCUGAUCCAGCCAUGCCGCGUGUGUGAAGAAGGUCUUCGGAUUGUAAAGCACUUUAAGUUGGGAGGAAGGGCAGUAAGUUAAUACCUUGCUGUUUUGACGUUACCAACAGAAUAAGCACCGGCUAACUUCGUG
RNAcentral lists this ribosomal RNA (484 nucleotides) under uncultured bacterium. RNAcentral's name for it is "partial 16S ribosomal RNA". It matches the Rfam family "Bacterial small subunit ribosomal RNA", at positions 30 to 507 of the family's 1533-position model. The record is from RNAcentral.